This 662-nucleotide ribosomal RNA is filed under the name uncultured Bacilli bacterium. RNAcentral's name for it is "bacterial SSU rRNA". It matches the Rfam family "Bacterial small subunit ribosomal RNA", at positions 90 to 738 of the family's 1533-position model. Lineage: Bacteria; Bacillati; Bacillota; Bacilli. The record is from RNAcentral.
AUCUAGUGGCGAACGGGUGAGUAACACGUGGGUAACCUGCCCAUCAGAGGGGGAUAACAUUCGGAAACGGAUGCUAAAACCGCAUAGGUCCUUUAACCGCAUGGUUGAAGGAGGAAAAGAGGCGCAAGCUUCUGCUGAUGGAUGGACCCGCGGUGCAUUAGCUAGUUGGUGAGGUAACGGCUCACCAAGGCCGUGAUGCAUAGCCGACCUGAGAGGGUGAUCGGCCACAUUGGGACUGAGACACGGCCCAAACUCCUACGGGAGGCAGCAGUAGGGAAUCUUCCGCAAUGGACGCAAGUCUGACGGAGCAACGCCGCGUGAGUGAAGAAGGUUUUCGGAUCGUAAAACUCUGUUGUUAGAGAAGAACAAGUGCUAGAGUAACUGUUAGCGCCUUGACGGUAUCUAACCAGAAAGCCACGGCUAACUACGUGCCAGCAGCCGCGGUAAUACGUAGGUGGCAAGCGUUGUCCGGAUUUAUUGGGCGUAAAGCGAGCGCAGGCGGUUCCUUAAGUCUGAUGUGAAAGCCCCCGGCUCAACCGGGGAGGGUCAUUGGAAACUGGGGAACUUGAGUGCAGAAGAGGAGAGUGGAAUUCCAUGUGUAGCGGUGAAAUGCGUAGAUAUAUGGAGGAACACCAGUGGCGAAGGCGACUCUCUGGUCUGUA